AACUUUAAUCGUUAUUCUCAAUCACCAUUCUACCAAAUGUCUUUCUCUCUCAUCUCUCUGCUUACACGAUUCUUCAUCUUUUUCUCUAUCUUCUUCCUUUUUUAUUACUUCCUCCUUGACAUCUCUUACUCGUUUACCACGCAGUUCUUCUGUAUCAUCUCGCUUAAAGUUCCAACGACCCUAACUCCGAGGGCUAUCUCCUCCUCGCCCUCGUCGACAACGUCGAUGAAGGCGGUAAUGCAGCGGUGAGGCUGAGAGGAGAUGAAAGUUGUGACGUCAAGGCGAGGAUGACCGGUUACCCUCCGGAGAUCCAAAUCCUCCUCCGCUUUGUUCCUUUGUGAAAUCCAUAGAUCAAAUCUUCAUAUUCUUCUUCUCCCGAAACGUCUUCGUCGUCAAGCCUAACAAGCAGUUUUAUGAUUAAGAUUGAUACCGAUUUUCCUGAUUUUAAACCAAUACCUUUUUCGAUCUCGAGAUGUAACUGAUCUCUUUGCUUGAUUCAUGAAGUGGUAUGAAUAGUUGGUCAAAUGUUUAAACAAGAAUGGACGACGUACAUGAUUUUGAAUAGUUAAAUUUUUGGUUAACAAGAGAUGGACAAAGUAUAAUGGAUGCAUAGUUAUGGAUAAGUAUAACUAAG
This 634-nucleotide long non-coding RNA is filed under the name Capsella grandiflora. RNAcentral's name for it is "long non-coding RNA (CGRA_LNC001008)". The record is from RNAcentral. Lineage: Eukaryota; Viridiplantae; Streptophyta; Magnoliopsida; Brassicales; Brassicaceae.